UACGUAGGGGGCUAGCGUUGUCCGGAUUUAUUGGGCGUAAAGAGUGCGUAGGCGGUUCUUGAAGUCCGCUGUGAAAGCCCCGGGCUUAACCUGGGAAUGGCAGUGGAAACUGGAGGACUUGAAUUGAGCAGAGGGGGGUGGAAUGCCGCGUGUAGCAGUGAAAUGCGUAGAGAUGCGGCGGAACACCGAUGGCGAAGGCAGCCCCCUGGGCUUAAAUUGACGCUGAGGCACGAAAGCGUGGGGAGCAAACAGG
Molecule: ribosomal RNA, 253 nt
Filed under: uncultured bacterium
Lineage: Bacteria
Description: partial 16S ribosomal RNA
Rfam family: Bacterial small subunit ribosomal RNA
Source: RNAcentral